GGGCCUAACACAUGCAAGUCGCACGAGAACGCUUCAGCUUGCUGAAGCUAGUAAAGUGGCGCACGGGUGAGUAACGCGUGGGUAAUCUACCUCCAAAUUGGGGAUAACAUUGCGAAAGCGAUGCUAAUACCGAAUGAUAUCUCAAAGACUUCGGUUUUUGAGAUCAAAGGUGGCCGCUCCAUGGAAGCUACUGUUAGGAGAUGAGCCCGCGUACCAUUAGCUUGUUGGUAGGGUAAAGGCCUACCAAGGCUACGAUGGUUAGCUGGUCUGAGAGGAUGAUCAGCCACACUGGAACUGACACACGGUCCAGACUCCUACGGGAGGCAGCAGUGAGGAAUUUUGCGCAAUGGGGGAAACCCUGACGCAGCAACGCCGCGUGAGUGAUGAAGGCUUUCGGGUCGUAAAGCUCUGUCAAGUGGGAAGAACCUGCCCUGUGCUAAUAUCACCGGGCACUGACGGUACCACUGAAGGAAGCACCGGCUAACUCCGUGCCAGCAGCCGCGGUAACACGGGGGGUGCAAGCGUUAUUCGGAAUCACUGGGCGUAAAGAGCGCGUAGGCGGUCUCUUAAGUCAGAUGUGAAAGCCCGGGGCUCAACCCCGGAAGUGCAUUUGAAACGAAGGGACUUGAGUAUGGGAGAGGGAAGUGGAAUUCCUGGUG
RNAcentral lists this ribosomal RNA (659 nucleotides) under uncultured bacterium. RNAcentral describes it as "bacterial SSU rRNA". It matches the Rfam family "Bacterial small subunit ribosomal RNA", at positions 44 to 675 of the family's 1533-position model. The record is from RNAcentral.